Molecule: non-coding RNA, 28 nt
Filed under: Bombyx mori (domestic silkworm)
Lineage: Eukaryota; Metazoa; Arthropoda; Insecta; Lepidoptera; Bombycidae
Source: RNAcentral
CAGGAAAGCCAAAUUUAUUGUAAAACCU